RNAcentral lists this unclassified non-coding RNA (196 nucleotides) under uncultured fungus. RNAcentral's name for it is "sequence contains ITS2". Lineage: Eukaryota; Fungi. The record is from RNAcentral.
GCACUCUCACAUAUAACCUCUGGGUUAAAAUGUGGAAUUGGGAUGCGCCGGUUAUUAUAACGGCCCUCCUAAAAUUCAGUUCUUGGCUGCUUCCUACUACAGCAGUUUGGCCUAAUAUUUUUGAGUCUUCGAUUCAAAUCUUUGGCUAACAUUUGCUUCAGAAUGUCAGUCUUGAUAUACAGAAAUCUUAUUCAAA